This 492-nucleotide ribosomal RNA is filed under the name uncultured bacterium. Its description in RNAcentral is "partial 16S ribosomal RNA". It matches the Rfam family "Bacterial small subunit ribosomal RNA", at positions 29 to 507 of the family's 1533-position model. The record is from RNAcentral.
AGUGAACGCUGGCGGUAGGCCUAACACAUGCAAGUCGAACGGCAGCACAGUAAGAGCUUGCUCUUACGGGUGGCGAGUGGCGGACGGGUGAGGAAUACAUCGGAAUCUACUUUUUCGUGGGGGAUAACGUAGGGAAACUUACGCUAAUACCGCAUACGACCUACGGGUGAAAGCAGGGGAUCUUCGGACCUUGCGCGAUUGAAUGAGCCGAUGUCGGAUUAGCUAGUUGGCGGGGUAAAGGCCCACCAAGGCGACGAUCCGUAGCUGGUCUGAGAGGAUGAUCGGCCACACUGGAACUGAGACACGGUCCAGACUCCUACGGGAGGCAGCAGUGGGGAAUAUUGGACAAUGGGCGAAAGCCUGAUCCAGCCAUACCGCGUGGGUGAAGAAGGCCUUCGGGUUGUAAAGCCCUUUUGUUGGGAAAGAAAAGCAGCAGGUUAAUACCCAGCUGUUCUGACGGUACCCAAAGAAUAAGCACCGGCUAACUUCGUG